This is an RNA transcript of Triticum dicoccoides, 1042 nucleotides long. RefSeq lists it as uncharacterized. The transcript has 3 exons. The record is from RefSeq and is a predicted model, not a curated record. Lineage: Eukaryota; Viridiplantae; Streptophyta; Magnoliopsida; Poales; Poaceae.
UUCACAUGCAACUACUCCAUCUCAGCAAUUUUCACGGACAUCUAUAAAGCCACGUCAUCCUCUAUUUUUUUCUCCCACUGUGCCGCUAGACGCCUACCCACCCACUCGAUUCUCUUCCCUGUCGCUUCCUCUUCGGCCUCCCAUAACUGAUGAGGCAAUCCGGCGUUUUAUCUCCCACGGGUUAGUACUUUCCUGUCUCUCCUCCUCUCUCUCUCUCGCCGGCGUUAGGCAGACAUGCUUGCUGAUAGCCGACGUUGCUUUUAAUCUUGCCUGAUCUUGCCAGGACUGAUGGGGGAGAUUAGGUAGGCAUGUUUGCUGAUGGUGGGCGUUGUGCAGUCACAGGGAUGCCCUCAAUCUCGAAUCUUGCCGCCGCUCCACAGGGCGGUCGACCACCUGCCAUCCAUGUCGCCACCGUGGAUUGGCGCGUCCUCCAGUGCCACAUGGAGCGUCGGCUGUUGUGCGGUGGAAUGGACCCAUAUCAAGCUCCCUCCUCCACUUCAAGUCCCUCCGCCUCCUCCUCUCACGCCGCCGGCUACGUAGCGGUGCAGCGUGCGUCCGCUCUCAAUUCUGAAGAUCUACUGCCGUGCCAUUGGAUGCAGAGAAAUUAUGUGUGACUGGCUACCCUGCGCAAUACGGAUCCUGAACACGCAGUCACCCCCUGCCUGGAGGAGUCGUCGCCGUGGCAUCAUCUCAUUGCCCGUGUGGAAGAUGGGAGUGCCCCGUUCUCGAAGCUGGGAAGUCAUAAUUUGGUUAUAUAUUUUUUGCAUUUGUGGACACAAAAUUACGAUUGAUGCUCUACCCAAGAUCUGCACAGCUGUUGACUUCAAAUUGUUCUCCGUUUCUGCUACCUGACACAGGGUACUGAUCCGAGGCAAGUAUUGAUCUAGGUCAUCUGCAACCAGCUACGAUCAAGAUCAAUAUCAAAGUUGUAGGAAUUGUUUCUGUACACGACUACUGCAACCGAGGAAGUAUAGUAUAGGCUUCUAUUUUCAACAAGGUUUGGUAAUGUUACACAAUGGUCAUUAAUUUUCCUUGAUUUUCU